AUGCCCCUGGACUUCACCAAGCACUUCCCGGCAGUGCCGCAAGAGUUCAAGCUCAGGACCAACACUAGCUGCUCAUGGAGGGUGACCGUCCGGCUGAUGGGCGGUAUGGUGACCCUCGAUCAGAGUUGGACCCCCUUCGCCGCCGUCCAUCAGAUCAGGAUCGGCUACAUGGUGACAUUCAAGCUGCUCACUCCCGACACGCUCAAGGUCAUCGUCUUCAACGAUGAAGACAUUGAAGUGGUGACCAAGUGCGGCAAGCAUAACGACGCCUUCGCCAUGAACAUCUAG
Molecule: ribosomal RNA, 288 nt
Filed under: Triticum aestivum (bread wheat)
Lineage: Eukaryota; Viridiplantae; Streptophyta; Magnoliopsida; Poales; Poaceae
Description: partial small subunit ribosomal RNA
Source: RNAcentral